CGGCGGACGGGUGAGUAAUGCCUAGGAAUCUGCCUGGUAGUGGGGGACAACGUUUCGAAAGGAACGCUAAUACCGCAUACGUCCUACGGAGGAAGCAGGGACCUUCGGGCCUUGCGCUAUCAGAUGAGCCUAGGUCGGAUUAGCUAGUUGGUGAGGUAAUGGCUCACCAAGGCGACGAUCCGUAACUGGUCUGAGAGGAUGAUCAGUCACACUGGAACUGAGACACGGUCCAGACUCCUACGGGAGGCAGCAGAA
This 255-nucleotide ribosomal RNA is filed under the name uncultured Pseudomonas sp. RNAcentral's name for it is "partial 16S ribosomal RNA". It matches the Rfam family "Bacterial small subunit ribosomal RNA", at positions 96 to 354 of the family's 1533-position model. Lineage: Bacteria; Pseudomonadati; Pseudomonadota; Gammaproteobacteria; Pseudomonadales; Pseudomonadaceae. The record is from RNAcentral.